Molecule: ribosomal RNA, 253 nt
Filed under: uncultured bacterium
Lineage: Bacteria
Description: partial 16S ribosomal RNA
Rfam family: Bacterial small subunit ribosomal RNA
Source: RNAcentral
UACAGAGGUGGCAAGCGUUGUUCGGAUUUAUUGGGCGUAAAGGGUCCGUAGGCGGUCCGUAAAGUUGGAUGUGAAAUCCCACAGCUUAACUGUGGAACUGCAUUCAAAACUCACGGACUAGAGUAUGGAAGGGGUGAGGGGAAUUCCCGGUGUAAGGGUGAAAUCUGCAGAGAUCGGGAGGAACACCAGUCGCGAAGGCGCCUCACUGGUCCAUUACUGACGCUCAGGGACGAAAGCUAGGGGAGCAAACGGG